RNAcentral lists this ribosomal RNA (468 nucleotides) under uncultured bacterium. Its description in RNAcentral is "partial 16S ribosomal RNA". It matches the Rfam family "Bacterial small subunit ribosomal RNA", at positions 28 to 507 of the family's 1533-position model. The record is from RNAcentral.
GACGAACGCUGGCGGCGUGCUUAACACAUGCAAGUCGAACGGAAAGGCCCUGCUUUUGUGGGGUGCUCGAGUGGCGAACGGGUGAGUAACACGUGAGUAACCUGCCCUUGACUUUGGGAUAACUUCAGGAAACUGGGGCUAAUACCGGAUAGGAGCUCCUGCUGCAUGGUGGGGGUUGGAAAGUUUCGGCGGUUGGGGAUGGACUCGCGGCUUAUCAGCUUGUUGGUGGGGUAGUGGCUUACCAAGGCUUUGACGGGUAGCCGGCCUGAGAGGGUGACCGGCCACCUUGGGCCUGAGCUACGGCCCAGCCUCCUACGGGCGGCAGCAGUGGGGAAUAUUGCACAAUGGGCGGAAGCCUGAUGCAGCACCGCCGCGUGCGGGAUGACGGCCUUCGGGUUGUAAACCGCUUUCGCCUGUGACGAAGCGUGAGUGACGGUAAUGGGUAAAGAAGCACCGGCUAACUACGUG